Molecule: ribosomal RNA, 256 nt
Filed under: uncultured prokaryote
Description: partial 16S ribosomal RNA
Rfam family: Bacterial small subunit ribosomal RNA
Source: RNAcentral
UACGGAGGAUCCGAGCGUUAUCCGGAAUUAUUGGGUUUAAAGGGUGCGUAGGCGGCCAUUUAAGUCAGCGGUGAAAUUUUGCAGCUUAACUGUAACAGUGCCGUUGAUACUGGGGAGCUAGGAUUUGGUUGCUGUGGGUGGAAUGUGUGGUGUAGCGGUGAAAUGCUUAGAGAUCACACAGAAUAUCGAUUGCGAAGGCAGCUCACAAAGACCAAGAUUGACGCUGAGGCACGAAAGUGUGGGGAGUCAAACAGGA